This 27-nucleotide non-coding RNA is filed under the name Rattus norvegicus (Norway rat). Lineage: Eukaryota; Metazoa; Chordata; Mammalia; Rodentia; Muridae. The record is from RNAcentral.
UAGAAAAUAGUUCCAAUGUGUCCAAAU